GGGGAAUAUUGCACAAUGGGCGGAAGCCUGAUGCAGCGACGCCGCGUGGGGGAUGACGGUCUUCGGAUUGUAAACCCCUUUCAGUAGGGACGAAGCGCAAGUGACGGUACCUGCAGAAGAAGCACCGGCCAACUACGUGCCAGCAGCCGCGGUAAUACGUAGGGUGUGAGCGUUGUCCGGAAUUACUGGGCGUAAAGAGCUCGUAGGCGGUUUGUCGCGUCGUCUGUGAAAUCCUCCGCCUAACCGGGGGCGUGCAGGCGAUACGGGCAGACUUGAGUACUACAGGGGAGACUGGAAUUCCUGGUGUAGCGGUGAAAUGCGCAGAUAUCAGGAGGAACACCGGUGGCGAAGGCGGGUCUCUGGGUAGUAACUGACGCUGAGGAGCGAAAGCAUGGGGAGCAAAC
Molecule: ribosomal RNA, 404 nt
Filed under: uncultured bacterium
Lineage: Bacteria
Description: bacterial SSU rRNA
Rfam family: Bacterial small subunit ribosomal RNA
Source: RNAcentral